Non-coding RNA from Emys orbicularis (European pond turtle), 72 nucleotides. The record is from the annotation of a RefSeq genome assembly. Lineage: Eukaryota; Metazoa; Chordata; Testudines; Emydidae.
UCCCUGAUGGUCUAGUGGUCAGGAUUCAGUGUUUUCACCGCUGCAGCCUGGGUUCAAUUCCUGGUCAGGGAA